AGUGAACGCUGGCGGUAGGCCUAACACAUGCAAGUCGAACGGCAGCACAGGAGAGCUUGCUCUCUGGGUGGCGAGUGGCGGGCGGGUGAGGAAUACAUCGGAAUCUACUCUGUAGUGGGGGAUAACGUAGGGAAACUUACGCUAAUACCGCAUACGACCUACGGGUGAAAGCAGGGGAUCUUCGGACCUUGCGCGAUUGAAUGAGCGGAUGUCGGAUUAGCUAGUUGGCGGGGUAAAGGCCCACCAAGGCGACGAUCCGUAGCUGGUCUGAGAGGAUGAUCAGCCACACUGGAACUGAGACACGGUCCAGACUCCUACGGGAGGCAGCAGUGGGGAAUAUUGGACAAUGGGCGCAAGCCUGAUCCAGCCAUACCGCGUGGGUGAAGAAGGCCUUCGGGUUGUAAAGCCCUUUUGUUGGGAAAGAAAUCCAGCUGGCUAAUACCCGGUUGGGAUGACGGUACCCAAAGAAUAAGCACCGGCUAACUUCGUGCCAGCAGCCGCCGUAA
This 506-nucleotide ribosomal RNA is filed under the name uncultured bacterium. RNAcentral describes it as "partial 16S ribosomal RNA". It matches the Rfam family "Bacterial small subunit ribosomal RNA", at positions 29 to 523 of the family's 1533-position model. The record is from RNAcentral.